This is a long non-coding RNA of Sinocyclocheilus grahami, 184 nucleotides long. RefSeq lists it as uncharacterized. The transcript is spliced from 3 exons. The record is from RefSeq and is a predicted model, not a curated record. NCBI's taxonomy places the organism in Eukaryota, Metazoa, Chordata, Actinopteri, Cypriniformes, Cyprinidae.
GAGGCCAGGGAAAUUCUCCUACGAAAUUUUCAUAUCAUCCAAAAGAGAUACCCACAAGAAUUCCCCCACAGAUUUGAAUCCAAUCUUGAGGAUAGUUCAGAUGACAACCGCAGCUCCAGUCUGGGACGCUCUGCCCCCUCAGAUGAUAUGUCAGUGGCCUCUGACUACCAGGAGGAAGGUGCUU